CUCCGAUUGACCUCGUCUGUUGUAUCUUCAACGAUUUCAUUGCUGUGGUAUUAUCUGUUCUAAUGCAUCCUAUAUUUAGGAGGAGGGGUUAUGGCUGUCCAAGCCUCUUUGACUCAGAGGAAGCAAAAAAGAGAAAAGGCUGUGGUCCUGAGCUCUUUCACCAGAUGGCCCUUAUGCCAUCGAGGUUAAGAGCCAGAGCCAACCUGUCACCCUCACAGCCACAGUCUUUGCUGCCACCUCUAGAAAAACCCCAAGCUUCAUCACAUGUAGCCUCUUCACGAGCUUCCAUCCCCUCACAAGCUUCUACUUACCCACAACUAUCCUCAGUGCCUACAGCCACCCUGCGCUCUUUAUUGAUCGGGAAAGGCAAUUCUCAGCAUAGUACAGACUAGUUGUCUGUAAAGUGGCUGUUUCUCUGAGCAAAAGUUUCAGCUGUAGAGAAGAAUUUGCCUUCCCGCUGGUUGCAUCCCCAGCCUGCUAGAUGUUGACCAGCGCUGGAUUGCUAAGGCCCUGUUCCGGUGGUCAAGCUUAACUAAACCUGAGCUGGACCACAAAGAGAUGGACAGAAUUUGAUGGCAUCCACCUCGGCCAUCUCUGAACUUAAGUGGCAGCAUUGGAGCAGUUUUUUUGACACCCCGUUUCUGUGGAUGCC
This is a long non-coding RNA of Dicentrarchus labrax (European seabass), 652 nucleotides long. RefSeq lists it as uncharacterized. NCBI's taxonomy places the organism in Eukaryota, Metazoa, Chordata, Actinopteri, Moronidae. The record is from RefSeq and is a predicted model, not a curated record. The transcript is spliced from 3 exons.